ACGGGAGACACACGGCGGGUGCUAACGUCCGUCGUGAAGAGGGAAACAACCCAGACCGCCAGCUAAGGUCCCAAAGUCAUGGUUAAGUGGGAAACGAUGUGGGAAGGCCCAGACAGCCAGGAUGUUGGCUUAGAAGCAGCCAUCAUUUAAAGAAAGCGUAAUAGCUCACUGGUCGAGUCGGCCUGCGCGGAAGAUGUAACGGGGCUAAACCAUGCACCGAAGCUGCGGCAGCGACGCUUAUGCGUUGUUGGGUAGGGGAGCGUUCUGUAAGCCUGCGAAGGUGUGCUGUGAGGCAUGCUGGAGGUAUCAGAAGUGCGAAUGCUGACAUAAGUAACGAUAAAGCGGGUGAAAAGCCCGCUCGCCGGAAGACCAAGGGUUCCUGUCCAACGUUAAUCGGGGCAGGGUGAGUCGACCCCUAAGGCGAGGCCGAAAGGCGUAGUCGAUGGGAAAC
RNAcentral lists this ribosomal RNA (451 nucleotides) under Escherichia coli. Its description in RNAcentral is "partial 23S ribosomal RNA". It matches the Rfam family "Bacterial large subunit ribosomal RNA", at positions 977 to 1426 of the family's 2925-position model. Lineage: Bacteria; Pseudomonadati; Pseudomonadota; Gammaproteobacteria; Enterobacterales; Enterobacteriaceae. The record is from RNAcentral.